CUAAGAAUAUUCCGCAAUGGACGAAAGUCUGACGGAGCGACGCCGCGUGGAUGAAGAAGGCCGAAAGGUUGUAAAAUCCUUUUGUCGGGGAAGAAUAAGCGUGGGAGGGAAUGCCCGCGUGAUGACAUGAACCGGCGAAUAAGCCCCGGCUAACUACGUGCCAGCAGCCGCGGUAACACGUAGGGGGCGAGCGUUGUUCGGAAUUACUGGGCGUAAAGGGCAUGUAGGCGGUUUUGUAAGCCUGGCGUGAAAUUCUGCAGCUUAACUGUAGGACUGCGCUGGGAACUGCGAGACUGGAGUCACGGAGAGGGAGCCAGAAUUCCAGGUGUAGGGGUGAAAUCUGUAGAUAUCUGGAAGAAUACCAAUGGCGAAGGCAGGCUUCUGGCCGAUGACUGACGCUGA
RNAcentral lists this ribosomal RNA (402 nucleotides) under uncultured bacterium. Its description in RNAcentral is "bacterial SSU rRNA". It matches the Rfam family "Bacterial small subunit ribosomal RNA", at positions 355 to 749 of the family's 1533-position model. The record is from RNAcentral.